RNAcentral lists this long non-coding RNA (284 nucleotides) under Chloebia gouldiae (Gouldian finch). RNAcentral describes it as "Erythrura gouldiae (Gouldian finch) lncRNA (ENSEGOG00005013541.1)". Lineage: Eukaryota; Metazoa; Chordata; Aves; Passeriformes; Passeridae. The record is from RNAcentral.
CAGAGAUAUAGUUGAAAAACAAAAUAAGCUCUGAGAUAGAAGUUUUGAGACUGAAGCAAGAGAAUUAAGUGGAUCCCAAAAGUCAGCAAUGUCAAUGCUCCUAGUAUCAUUUUGUUUUGUCUGAGAAUAAAUCCUUCUCAAAGGCUCUUCCCCUGGAGAGCUGUAGGACUCCAUCUGUUCCAAACAGCUGCCAAAUACUUUUAAUUUGGUCGGCAACUGUGAAAAGUGUCAACCCAUUUUCAAAGCUGUUCCUGCCAGUGAAUCAGUCAAACCUCCUGCUAUGA